GACGAACGCUGGCGGCGUGCUUAACACAUGCAAGUCGAACGAUGAUCAGGAGCUUGCUCCUGUGAUUAGUGGCGAACGGGUGAGUAACACGUGAGUAACCUGCCCCUGACUCUGGGAUAAGCGUUGGAAACGACGUCUAAUACUGGAUAUGAUCACUGGCCGCAUGGUCUGGUGGUGGAAAGAUUUUUUGGUUGGGGAUGGACUCGCGGCCUAUCAGCUUGUUGGUGGGGUAAUGGCUCACCAAGGCGACGACGGGUAGCCGGCCUGAGAGGGUGACCGGCCACACUGGGACUGAGACACGGCCCAGACUCCUACGGGAGGCAGCAGUGGGGAAUAUUGCACAAUGGGCGAAAGCCUGAUGCAGCAACGCCGCGUGAGGGAUGACGGCCUUCGGGUUGUAAACCUCUUUUAGUAGGGAAGAAGCGAAAGUGACGGUACCUGCAGAAAAAGCACCGGCUAACUACGUG
This 467-nucleotide ribosomal RNA is filed under the name uncultured bacterium. RNAcentral describes it as "partial 16S ribosomal RNA". It matches the Rfam family "Bacterial small subunit ribosomal RNA", at positions 28 to 507 of the family's 1533-position model. The record is from RNAcentral.